GAGUUUGAUCAUGGCUCAGGAUGAACGCUGGCGGCAUGCCUAAGACAUGCAAGUCGAACGAGGAGACCUUUGGAAGAUGGAGUGCUUGCACAAAGUUAGAAGAAGAUUAUCUCCUAGUGGCAGACGGGUGAGUAACACGUGGGUAACCUACCUUUAAGCUGGGGAUAACAGUUGGAAACGACUGCUAAUACCGAAUAAGAGGUACGUAAAAAUAUCAUUGAAAGGAGCCUUUAAAGCUUCACUUAAAGAUGGGCCUGCGG
RNAcentral lists this ribosomal RNA (260 nucleotides) under uncultured bacterium. RNAcentral's name for it is "partial 16S ribosomal RNA". It matches the Rfam family "Bacterial small subunit ribosomal RNA", at positions 9 to 236 of the family's 1533-position model. The record is from RNAcentral.